Molecule: ribosomal RNA, 871 nt
Filed under: Salmonella enterica
Lineage: Bacteria; Pseudomonadati; Pseudomonadota; Gammaproteobacteria; Enterobacterales; Enterobacteriaceae
Description: partial 23S ribosomal RNA
Rfam family: Bacterial large subunit ribosomal RNA
Source: RNAcentral
AGACCCGAAACCCGGUGAUCUAGCCAUGGGCAGGUUGAAGGUUGGGUAACACUAACUGGAGGACCGAACCGACUAAUGUUGAAAAAUUAGCGGAUGACCUGUGGCUGGGGGUGAAAGGCCAAUCAAACCGGGAGAUAGCUGGUUCUCCCCGAAAGCUAUUUAGGUAGCGCCUCGUGAAUUCAUCUCCGGGGGUAGAGCACUGUUUCGGCUAGGGGGCCAUCCCGGCUUACCAACCCGAUGCAAACUGCGAAUACCGGAGAAUGUUAUCACGGGAGACACACGGCGGGUGCUAACGUCCGUCGUGAAGAGGGAAACAACCCAGACCGCCAGCUAAGGUCCCAAAGUCAUGGUUAAGUGGGAAACGAUGUGGGAAGGCCCAGACAGCCAGGAUGUUGGCUUAGAAGCAGCCAUCAUUUAAAGAAAGCGUAAUAGCUCACUGGUCGAGUCGGCCUGCGCGGAAGAUGUAACGGGGCUAAACCAUGCACCGAAGCUGCGGCAGCGACGCUGAUGCGUUGUUGGGUAGGGGAGCGUUCUGUAAGCCUGCGAAGGUGGCCUGUGAGGGUUGCUGGAGGUAUCAGAAGUGCGAAUGCUGACAUAAGUAACGAUAAAGCGGGUGAAAAGCCCGCUCGCCGGAAGACCAAGGGUUCCUGUCCAACGUUAAUCGGGGCAGGGUGAGUCGACCCCUAAGGCGAGGCCGAAAGGCGUAGUCGAUGGGAAACGGGUUAAUAUUCCCGUACUUGGUGUUACUGCGAAGGGGGGACGGAGAAGGCUAUGUUGGCCGGGCGACGGUUGUCCCGGUUUAAGCGUGUAGGUGUGUGUUCCAGGUAAAUCCGGUUCACUUUAACACUGAGGCGUGAUGACGAGGCACUAC